AUCAAGAAACAGAAGACAAAAGAGGUGGCACCAUGUUUUCAACUUUGCAUCAGAUAGGAAACUUCUUCAGUGUGGGGACCAGCAGGUGGUGUGGCAGGGCCAACAGCUGUCCUCUCUCUUUCCCUCACUUCCUUGUUCUGCCACAGUUCUGAACAGAGACAGCCCACCCCGGUGACCUGCUGUCACCUGAAUGUGACUUUACGGCUUCUCUCUGGACCACUCUGACAGGAGGUGCUGCUUGGCUGUCAACUGUGGUGUCCC
RNAcentral lists this long non-coding RNA (261 nucleotides) under Cavia porcellus (domestic guinea pig). RNAcentral's name for it is "lncRNA (ENSCPOG00000032803.1)". Lineage: Eukaryota; Metazoa; Chordata; Mammalia; Rodentia; Caviidae. The record is from RNAcentral.